Molecule: non-coding RNA, 27 nt
Filed under: Cricetulus griseus (Chinese hamster)
Lineage: Eukaryota; Metazoa; Chordata; Mammalia; Rodentia; Cricetidae
Source: RNAcentral
CAGUUGUGAGCCUCUGUAAUGGGUACA